Molecule: ribosomal RNA, 253 nt
Filed under: uncultured bacterium
Lineage: Bacteria
Description: partial 16S ribosomal RNA
Rfam family: Bacterial small subunit ribosomal RNA
Source: RNAcentral
UACGAAGGGGGCUAGCGUUGCUCGGAAUCACUGGGCGUAAAGCGCACGUAGGCGUCUUCUUAAGUCAGGGGUGAAAUCCUGGAGCUCAACUCCAGAACUGCCUUUGAUACUGAGGAGCUUGAGUCCGGGAGAGGUGAGUGGAACUGCGAGUGUAGAGGUGAAAUUCGUAGAUAUUCGCAAGAACACCAGUGGCGAAGGCGGCUCACUGGCCCGGUACUGACGCUGAGGUGCGAAAGCGUGGGGAGCAAACAGG